AUGGAUUCGCAGGCCCAGGUCCUCAUGUUGCUGCUGCUCUUGGUGUCUGGUACUUGUGGGGACAUUGUGAUGACUCAGUCUCCAUCCUCCCUGGCUGUGUCAGCAGGAGAGAAGGUCACUAUGAGCUGCAAGUCCAGUCAGAGCCUUUUAUCUAGUGGUAAGAACUACUUGGCUUGGUACCAGCAGAAACCAGGGAAGUCUCCUAAACUGCUGAUCUACUGGGCAUCCACUAGGGAAUCAGGGGUCCCUGAUCGCUUCAUAGGCAGUGGAUCUGGGACAGAUUUCACUCUCACCAUCAGCAGUGUGCAGGCUGAAGACCUGGCAGAUUAUUAUUGUCAACAAGUCUACAGUGGUUCUCCCACAGUGUUUCAGCCUUCUACAAAAACCUCCUUGAGAUCUCACAGCUGUCUGUACCACACAUAG
Arvicanthis niloticus (Nile rat) is the source of this 423-nucleotide non-coding RNA. NCBI's taxonomy places the organism in Eukaryota, Metazoa, Chordata, Mammalia, Rodentia, Muridae. The record is from the annotation of a RefSeq genome assembly.